RNAcentral lists this long non-coding RNA (950 nucleotides) under Homo sapiens (human). RNAcentral describes it as "HSALNT0378336". Lineage: Eukaryota; Metazoa; Chordata; Mammalia; Primates; Hominidae. The record is from RNAcentral.
UAUGGAAAACAAGAAAAACCAAAAGAGGAAACCAUUUCUAAUGAGGAGACUAGUUCAAUUAUUCUGAAGUCAAGCCCUGCUAAUCAAGGAGUUGGACCGACUGUGACAUUUGGGGAAGCCCCACAGAACAGGAUGGGAUCUUUUAUGAAGAAAUGGAUUGGGAAGAAAAACAUAAGAUAAGGUUGGAACCUCUUCUGGUGCAAGAAGGUCCUAAAUAUUACUGAGGAUCUCUCAUCUUCUAGGUGAAGCUCACAAAAUUGCCCUGGAGGUUGCUGCCUUCCUGGAAGCCAGAGUGAAAAAAAAAAAGAGGACAUGCAGUUGCACAUGGGAGGAUUUUGUGGGCCAUGGUUAUCAGGGCACAAUCCCUUAGCUCACCUUUCUCUGGUGAGAAAACACUUCCAGUGCCACACCUCAGUCUCCUCCCUCUGGUGAAAAAAACACUUCCAGUGCCACACCUCAGCCUCCUUCCUCUGGUGAAAAAACAGUUCCAGUGCCAUACCUCAGCCUUUCCUCUGGUAAAAAACACUUCCAGUGCCACACCUCAGCCUCCCUCCUCUGGUGAAAAAACACUUCCAGUGCUACACCUCAGCCUCCUUCCUCUGGUGAAAAAAUACUUCCAGAGCCACACCUUACCCUCCUUCCUCUGGUGAGAAACUACUUCCAGUGCCACACCUCAGCCUCCUUCCUCUGGUGACAAAACACUUCCAGUGCCACAACUCAGCCUCCUUCGACUGGUGAGAAAACACUUCCAGUGCCACACCUCAGCCUCCUUCCUCUGCUGAGAAAACACUUCCAGUGCCACAGCUCAGCCUCCUUCCUCUGGUCACAAAACACUUCCAGUACUACACAUCACUGCUGGAGAACUGGAGAGUGGAGUCUUCCAGCCCAAGAAGAAAGAAAUAUAGGAUUUUGUCAAGUACCAGAAGUUUCUGCCACACUCAGUGGGCAUU